GACGAACGCUGGCGGCGUGCUUAACACAUGCAAGUCGAACGGAAAGGCCCUGCUUUUGUGGGGUGCUCGAGUGGCGAACGGGUGAGUAACACGUGAGUAACCUGCCCUUGACUUUGGGAUAACUUCAGGAAACUGGGGCUAAUACCGGAUAGGAGCUCCUGCUGCAUGGUGGGGGUUGGAAAGUUUCGGCGGUUGGGGAUGGAUUCGCGGCUUAUCAGCUUGUUGGUGGGGUAGUGGCUUACCAAGGCUUUGACGGGUAGCCGGCCUGAGAGGGUGACCGGCCACAUUGGGACUAAGAUACGGCCCAGACUCCUACGGGGGGCAGCAGUGGGGAAUAUUGCACAAUGGGCGGAAGCCUGAUACAGCAACGCCGCGUGCGGGAUGACGGCCUUCGGGUUGUGAACCGCUUUCGCCUGUGACGAAGCGUGAGUGACGGUAAUGGGUAAAGAAGCACCGGCUAACUACGUG
RNAcentral lists this ribosomal RNA (468 nucleotides) under uncultured bacterium. Its description in RNAcentral is "partial 16S ribosomal RNA". It matches the Rfam family "Bacterial small subunit ribosomal RNA", at positions 28 to 507 of the family's 1533-position model. The record is from RNAcentral.